CCAGCCGCUGAAAUAAGGGCUGGUAUCGCCGGGAGCGCCGCUUUUGGCAUUCCCGUACCAUGUUGCUUCAAGGAGGAUAUGGCU
This 84-nucleotide small RNA is filed under the name Agrobacterium deltaense NCPPB 1641. RNAcentral describes it as "ROSE". It matches the Rfam family "Repression of heat shock gene expression (ROSE) element". Rfam says of the family: This family represents a 5' UTR cis-regulatory element found in heat shock mRNAs and is known as the ROSE (repression of heat shock gene expression) element. The ROSE element is a negative regulator of heat shock gene expression. The secondary structure is thought to be regulated by temperature. Lineage: Bacteria; Pseudomonadati; Pseudomonadota; Alphaproteobacteria; Hyphomicrobiales; Rhizobiaceae. The record is from RNAcentral. RNAcentral also lists the same sequence under 1 other name.